RNAcentral lists this ribosomal RNA (640 nucleotides) under uncultured marine eukaryote. Its description in RNAcentral is "bacterial SSU rRNA". It matches the Rfam family "Eukaryotic small subunit ribosomal RNA", at positions 1 to 598 of the family's 1831-position model. The record is from RNAcentral.
AACCUGGUUGAUCCUGCCAGUAGUCAUAUGCUUGUUUCAAGGACUAAGCCAUGCAAGUCUCAGAAUAAAUGGAUCACAGUGAGUCUGCAGACAGCUCAUUAAAUCAGCUAUAAUCUACGCCGAGAAACUGCCUUAUGGCAGACUAUUGGAUAACUUUGGUAACCCCAAAGCUAAUACAUGUCAGCAAGACCCGCACAGAUUCUCCCUUGGGCUCUUUGGGCUCGAGGCUGUGCCGGGUGCAAUUGACCGAAACAAAAACCAACGCUAGCAAUAGCAGCGGUGAUUGGCUGACUCAGGUCUACCGAGUAGUAGCGCAUCUUCGGGGCGCUUGUCCGCAUGAGCAUCUGCCCUAUCAGCUUUUGAUGGUAGUGUAGUGGACUACCAUGGCUGUAACGGGUAACGGGGAAUUAGGGUUCGAUUCCGGAGAGGGAGCCUGAGAAACGGCUACCACAACUAAGGUUGGCAGCAGGCGCGCAAAUUGCCCAAUAGCAACACAUCGCUGAGGCAGCGAAGAGAAAUAGCAACUUCAUGCGGCAUUGCCGUGUGAAGAUUGCCAUGGACGAUAUCUAAACCUGUCGGUGAGUAUCAAUUGGUGGACAAGUCUGGUGCCAGCACCCACGGUAAUUCCAGCACCAAUAGC